RNAcentral lists this ribosomal RNA (253 nucleotides) under uncultured bacterium. RNAcentral describes it as "partial 16S ribosomal RNA". It matches the Rfam family "Bacterial small subunit ribosomal RNA", at positions 524 to 776 of the family's 1533-position model. The record is from RNAcentral.
UACGGGGGGGGCAAGCGUUGUUCGGAAUUACUGGGCGUAAAGGGCUCGUAGGCGGCCAACUAAGUCGGAUGUGAAAUCCCCAGGCUUAACCUGGGAACUGCAUCCGAUACUGGAUGGCUUGAAUCCGGGAGAGGGAUGCAGAAUUCCAGGUGUAGCGGUGAAAUGCGCAGAUAUCAGGAGGAACACCGGUGGCGAAGGCGGGUCUCUGGGCCGAUACUGACGCUGAGGAGCGAAAGUGUGGGGAGCGAACAGG